RNAcentral lists this ribosomal RNA (861 nucleotides) under Salmonella enterica subsp. enterica. RNAcentral's name for it is "partial 23S ribosomal RNA". It matches the Rfam family "Bacterial large subunit ribosomal RNA", at positions 93 to 995 of the family's 2925-position model. The record is from RNAcentral. Lineage: Bacteria; Pseudomonadati; Pseudomonadota; Gammaproteobacteria; Enterobacterales; Enterobacteriaceae.
AACCGUUAUAACCGGCGAUACCCGAAUGGGGAAACCCAGUGUGAUUCGUCACACUAUCAUUAACUGAAUCCAUAGGUUAAUGAGGCGAACCGGGGGAACUGAAACAUCUAAGUACCCCGAGGAAAAGAAAUCAACCGAGAUUCCCCCAGUAGCGGCGAGCGAACGGGGAGGAGCCCAGAGCCUGAAUCAGCAUGUGUGUUAGUGGAAGCGUCUGGAAAGUCGCGCGAUACAGGGUGACAGCCCCGUACACAAAAGCGCAUGUGUUGUGAGCUCGAUGAGUAGGGCGGGACACGUGGUAUCCUGUCUGAAUAUGGGGGGACCAUCCUCCAAGGCUAAAUACUCCUGACUGACCGAUAGUGAACCAGUACCGUGAGGGAAAGGCGAAAAGAACCCCGGCGAGGGGAGUGAAAAAGAACCUGAAACCGUGUACGUACAAGCAGUGGGAGCACCCUUCGGGGUGUGACUGCGUACCUUUUGUAUAAUGGGUCAGCGACUUAUAUUCUGUAGCAAGGUUAACCGAAUAGGGGAGCCGGAGGGAAACCGAGUCUUAAUUGGGCGUUAAGUUGCAGGGUAUAGACCCGAAACCCGGUGAUCUAGCCAUGGGCAGGUUGAAGGUUGGGUAACACUAACUGGAGGACCGAACCGACUAAUGUUGAAAAAUUAGCGGAUGACCUGUGGCUGGGGGUGAAAGGCCAAUCAAACCGGGAGAUAGCUGGUUCUCCCCGAAAGCUAUUUAGGUAGCGCCUCGUGAAUUCAUCUCCGGGGGUAGAGCACUGUUUCGGCUAGGGGGCCAUCCCGGCUUACCAACCCGAUGCAAACUGCGAAUACCGGAGAAUGUUAUCACGGGAGACACACGGCGGG